GACGAACGCUGGCGGCGUGCUUAACACAUGCAAGUCGAACGGAAAGGCCCUGCUUGCCGGGUACUCGAGUGGCGAACGGGUGAGUAACACGUGGGUGAUCUGCCCUGCACUUCGGGAUAAGCCUGGGAAACUGGGUCUAAUACCGGAUAGGAGCCAUUUUUAGUGUGAUGGUUGGAAAGUUUUUUCGGUGUAGGAUGAGCUCGCGGCCUAUCAGCUUGUUGGUGGGGUAAUGGCCUACCAAGGCGGCGACGGGUAGCCGGCCUGAGAGGGUGGACGGCCACAUUGGGACUGAGAUACGGCUCAGACUCCUACGGGAGGCAGCAGUGGGGAAUAUUGCACAAUGGGCGCAAGCCUGAUGCAGCGACGCCGCGUGGGGGAUGACGGCCUUCGGGUUGUAAACUCCUUUCGCUAGGGACGAAGCUUUUUGUGACGGUACCUAGAUAAGAAGCACCGGCUAACUACGUG
RNAcentral lists this ribosomal RNA (465 nucleotides) under uncultured bacterium. Its description in RNAcentral is "partial 16S ribosomal RNA". It matches the Rfam family "Bacterial small subunit ribosomal RNA", at positions 28 to 507 of the family's 1533-position model. The record is from RNAcentral.